AAGUCGUAACAAGGUUUCCGUAGGUGAACCUGCGGAAGGAUCAUUAAUGGAUUUUGACCGGUGGUCAAAUUACCUUGUGAUGUGUUGAAUGUUGUGUGUGUGUUGCCAUGUGAAAGUGGCGACCGCAUAUUUUUUCUAAUCCAUUUUUCAUUUCUGAUUUUUCAUGUGCGCAUUCUGUGUGCACACAAACAACCGAAAACUGCCAGCAACGGAUCACUCGGUUCUC
RNAcentral lists this unclassified non-coding RNA (226 nucleotides) under fungal sp. RNAcentral describes it as "partial internal transcribed spacer region". The stretch from base 1 to 46 matches the Rfam family "Eukaryotic small subunit ribosomal RNA", at positions 1786 to 1831 of the family's 1831-position model. The record is from RNAcentral. Lineage: Eukaryota; Fungi.